RNAcentral lists this ribosomal RNA (253 nucleotides) under uncultured bacterium. RNAcentral describes it as "partial 16S ribosomal RNA". It matches the Rfam family "Bacterial small subunit ribosomal RNA", at positions 524 to 776 of the family's 1533-position model. The record is from RNAcentral.
UACGAGGGGUGCAAACGUUAUUCGGAAUCACUGGGCGUAAAGGGUGUGCAGACGGCGAAACAAGUCAGUUAUAAAAUCUCUUGGCUUAACCAAGAACCUGUAACCGAAACUGUUUUGCUUGAGGAUGGAAGAGAGAAGCGGAAUUCUCGGAGUAGCGGUAAAAUGCGUAGAUCUCGAGAGGAACACCGAUGGCGAAGGCAGCUUCUUGGUCCAUUUCUGACGUUGAGACACGAAAGCGUGGGGAGCAAACAGG